RNAcentral lists this ribosomal RNA (251 nucleotides) under uncultured bacterium. RNAcentral's name for it is "partial 16S ribosomal RNA". It matches the Rfam family "Bacterial small subunit ribosomal RNA", at positions 525 to 775 of the family's 1533-position model. The record is from RNAcentral.
ACGUAGGGGGCAAGCGUUAUCCGGAUUUACUGGGUGUAAAGGGAGCGUAGACGGCACGGCAAGCCAGAUGUGAAAGCCCGGGGCUCAACCCUGGGACUGCAUUUGGAACUGCUGAGCUAGAGUGUCGGAGAGGCAAGUGGAAUUCCUAGUGUAGCGGUGAAAUGCGUAGAUAUUAGGAGGAACACCAGUGGCGAAGGCGGCUUGCUGGACGAUGACUGACGUUGAGGCUCGAAAGCGUGGGGAGCAAACAG